AUGGAGGUCAUGAUCGGGGUGAUGAGCACCCUCCUGCCCAUGCUUGGCAACCUGCUCAAGGAGGAGUAUAAGCUGCAGAAGAACACCAGGGGCGAGAUCAAGUUCCUCAAAGCCGAGUUAGAGAGCAUGGAAGCUGUCCUCAUCAAGGUUUCGGAGGCACCACUGGAUCAGCCACCUGACAUUCAGCAGAAGGAGCCGCACAGCUUCAUGGGUUUCAUCCACAAGCAUCGACAUGCUGACAAAGGGGAACAUCCGAAGAUUGGCAUCGAUAUCAAAGAUGUCCAGAGCCGCAUCAAGGAGUUCAGCGAGAGGCGUGAUAGAACUCACAUGGAAAUGAUGGUCGAAGGAUUUGUUCAUGAAGAGCAUGGAAAGAACUUGUAUAAAGAUAACUUCCUGACAACAAUGGUUGUCAGCAGCCUAGGUCACUACCAAGCAAUGUCUGUCGACUAUGUCUCCAAAGCAGUAAAGAAGAGGAUGUCAAGCAGAUGCCAACCAUGCACAGUCAAUAUCUAG
RNAcentral lists this ribosomal RNA (513 nucleotides) under Triticum aestivum (bread wheat). RNAcentral describes it as "partial small subunit ribosomal RNA". Lineage: Eukaryota; Viridiplantae; Streptophyta; Magnoliopsida; Poales; Poaceae. The record is from RNAcentral.